UACGAAGGGGGCUAGCGUUGCUCGGAAUUACUGGGCGUAAAGGGCGCGUAGGCGGACAGUUUAGUCAGAGGUGAAAGCCCAGGGCUCAACCUUGGAAUUGCCUUUGAUACUGGCUGUCUUGAGUUCGGGAGAGGUGAGUGGAAUGCCGAGUGUAGAGGUGAAAUUCGUAGAUAUUAGCUAGAACACCAGUGGCGAAGGCGGCCAACUGGUCCGGUACUGACGCUGAGGUGCGAAAGCGUGGGGAGCAAACAGG
RNAcentral lists this ribosomal RNA (253 nucleotides) under uncultured bacterium. RNAcentral's name for it is "partial 16S ribosomal RNA". It matches the Rfam family "Bacterial small subunit ribosomal RNA", at positions 524 to 776 of the family's 1533-position model. The record is from RNAcentral.